RNAcentral lists this transfer RNA (73 nucleotides) under Zootermopsis nevadensis. It matches the Rfam family "tRNA". Rfam says of the family: Transfer RNA (tRNA) molecules are approximately 80 nucleotides in length. Their secondary structure includes four short double-helical elements and three loops (D, anti-codon, and T loops). The record is from Rfam by way of RNAcentral. Lineage: Eukaryota; Metazoa; Arthropoda; Insecta; Blattodea; Termopsidae.
GCUACGGUGGUCUAGCGGUCAGAACGCUGGCCUUGUAAUCCUGGGGUCUCGGGUUCGAUUCCCAACUUUUGUU